CAUUGGUGCCUCCGCAACAUGAAACCGUGAACCCGGUCAGGCCCGGAAGGGAGCAGCCGAAGCGGUGGAAUUGUGUGCCGGG
Molecule: signal recognition particle RNA, 82 nt
Filed under: Halomonas sp.
Lineage: Bacteria; Pseudomonadati; Pseudomonadota; Gammaproteobacteria; Oceanospirillales; Halomonadaceae
Description: partial signal recognition particle sRNA small type
Rfam family: Bacterial small signal recognition particle RNA
About the family: The signal recognition particle (SRP) is a universally conserved ribonucleoprotein involved in the co-translational targeting of proteins to membranes.
Source: RNAcentral